Molecule: ribosomal RNA, 272 nt
Filed under: uncultured prokaryote
Description: partial 16S ribosomal RNA
Rfam family: Bacterial small subunit ribosomal RNA
Source: RNAcentral
UACGAAGGGUGCAAGCGUUAAUCGGAAUUACUGGGCGUAAAGAGCUCGUAGGUGGUUUGUCACGUCGUCUGUGAAAUUCCGGGGCUUAACCUCGGGCGUGCAGGCGAUACGGGCAAUACUUGAGUGCUGUAGGGGAGACUGGAAUUCCUGGUGUAGCGGUGAAAUGCGUAGAUAUUAGGAGGAACACCAGUAGCGAAGGCGGCUCUCUGGACUGUAACUGACGCUGAGGCACGAAAGCGUGGGGAGCAAACAGGAUUAGAUACCCGGGUAGU